RNAcentral lists this long non-coding RNA (842 nucleotides) under Citrus x clementina. RNAcentral's name for it is "Citrus clementina (C. clementina) long non-coding RNA (CCLE_LNC002765)". The record is from RNAcentral. Lineage: Eukaryota; Viridiplantae; Streptophyta; Magnoliopsida; Sapindales; Rutaceae.
UAAGCCUAAGUCUCACAUUCGCAACCGCCCCACAUAUCAGAACCACAGCGAACUGCCUCCGACCCUACGGACCCAAAAAAAUUAUUGUAUUCCUGCUCUUUCACUUCAAUAAUUUUUUGUAUUAUUCCAUAUCUUUCACUUUAAUAACCCAAAAGCUUUCCUCUGUUUCAACCCAAAAGCUCAAAUUCCUUUUUUCAAUCGAAAUAAAACGUAGCCACAAAACCCUAAUUCACCACACCAAUUUAUCUCUGCCCGGUAUUCAUUUAAACCCUACCUCGCGGUUCAAUGUCAUUCAAUACGAUUGCAGAUGCCGUUUCAACUUGACAUUUAGUUAGCGCCAUCCCGUUCUCUAUGGUAAGCCUUAACCCUAACAACUAAUCGACUGUGGUAGCACGUUGCUUGUUAGGAGUGGGGAUACAUUAUUUGAAUAUAUGAAUUGGGUGAUGUUAGUGAUUCAUUCCCCUAUUUUUCGUGAAUUGAGAUUUGUGUAUAAUGCUAGUAAGAUUGCUAAAAAUUUCAUAUUUUGUAUUGUUCCAGUUGAAUUUCUUGCUUGUGGAAGAUAAAACAAAAGUUCAAUUUCAUGUUGAUUUAAUUCUUCUUUUUUUUUUCUUCUUUAUAGUCACGCUCUGGCUUUGGUGCUAUGCUUAGUGCAGUUUAUGGUUUCAAGAUUAAGUCACGUUUAUUUGAUGGCAUCGAUUCCAUCAUUAAGAAGCUCUUCUUAUUUUAUCUCAGUUUCAAUUUUCUUUUAUUAUCUGCCUCUACCUGAAAAUGGACGUGUUUUACUAGUAAGCAUAGACUUUGUUUAUUUAAUUGAUAUUAUAAUUUUAUGUAUAAGAAUGGAG